UACGUAGGCAGCAAGCGUUGUUCGGAGUUACUGGGCGUAAAGCGUGCGCAGACGGUUGCGUAAGUCAGAUGUGAAAGCCCCGGGCUCAACCUGGGAAUUGCAUUUGAGACUGCGUAGCUAGGGUGCGGAAGAGGGAAGCGGAAUUUCCGGUGUAGCGGUGAAAUGCGUAGAUAUCGGAAGGAACACCAGUGGCGAAAGCGGCUUCCUGGUCCAGCACCGACGUUCAGGCACGAAAGCGUGGGGAGCAAACAGG
This 253-nucleotide ribosomal RNA is filed under the name uncultured bacterium. Its description in RNAcentral is "partial 16S ribosomal RNA". It matches the Rfam family "Bacterial small subunit ribosomal RNA", at positions 524 to 776 of the family's 1533-position model. The record is from RNAcentral.